RNAcentral lists this unclassified non-coding RNA (2007 nucleotides) under Hevea brasiliensis (rubber tree). The record is from RNAcentral. Lineage: Eukaryota; Viridiplantae; Streptophyta; Magnoliopsida; Malpighiales; Euphorbiaceae.
GUUAAUCCUUUCUGGGUUUCUUUCUGUACUUGAUCCAUCAAUUUGUUUGUGAAAUGGUAAUUGAAAAGUGAAUUUCUUGUCUAAUUUGAUUAAUCAUUUAGGAUUUACCCUCAAAUGUACCUGCGAAUAGUGACUUGAUGGAAAUUUUUGUAUAUUUGUCACUGAUUUUGCUGCCGUCAGUAUCAUCCUGGUUAACUGGGCUUUAUGCGAUUUGCCUUGAAAAAAGUAACUCGAUAUGUUUAUGGAUGUUGAGAUUAUGAUUCAUUAAUCACCUUAUAAUCCAACAGAUAAUCUAUUCUAGCAUAUGUGUGGUUUGGGAAUGGUCGUGCAGGUGGCUUAAUUGAGCAAUUCAUUUAAUUGCAUGGAAAAAUUUUGUUGUCGUAGUUGAGUUGGAGUGAGAUCGACAUGGAGUUACAUUUUAUCUUGGAAGUGCUUACACACAAGUUGCAGAUGUCAAAUUGUCUUAAGUGAUUUGAGACUGUUAUAAACUUGGGUUUGGGAUAGCGUCCAAGGGCGCCGAGAAAUCUGCAAAUGAAGAGCUGCUGGAUUGAGGUUUUGUGGUUGCAACCCUUUGGAAGAAGUUAAGCUUUCAUUAGAGAGAAGCCUCCAAUAUGAGUAUUUACCAAACUCAAUCUUGGAAUGAACUUAGCUGCCUUUCAUUGAUUUCAACUAGCUUUUUAAAUAAAAAAUAUAAAAAAGGAUUCUCUGAAGUUUAAAUCACUCUAGUUUAUUUGCAGCAGCAAAAAUUUAAAAUUUAAAGCUCAAAUAGCUGCACUAAUCCAGCUUUUUUCCCCUAUGUGAAUGGUGCCUGUAAAUCUUCUCUGGGGAUCCAUCUAAACUGAAUAGCUCCUGAUACUGUUGCUCAGAGAGCUGCUUCUUUGUACUCAGCGUUUAUGAUCAAAGAUAGUAGUAGGAUGUUUUCAUGUGCUAGUGACCUAUUCUUGAGCUUUGAUACUUCCCUUUAUGUUGCAAAUUUACAUAGUUUUCAAGUAUUCUUAGGUCUUUCUUUGCUUUUUAAGCCUUGUUCUGAUGAGUGCUCCAUCUUGUGCACUCUGUGUAUUUAGCUACAUCCAUGUUGGAAAUUAAUUUUUGCAAUUAAUUGCUGGUAAAGAAAACCUUUUGGUGAUGACCAUUCUUUAUAGGAAUGAAAAGCAAUCAUAGGUACAUUUCCGGCAGAGCCCAACGCAGGAAGGUGGCAAUCCUAUCCUUAAUUCCUUAUUGCCUUGUAAGGUCUUAUCUCCUUAUGCUAAUUUAUAUGAAUAGCACGAGGUCAGUGGCAAUAUCGUGUCUGGAAAUCCCAUGCUUAUGAAAGAAGAGACAUUGAAUGGAAUCAUUUGUUUACUGUCGAUGGGAGGUUUUCUGCUUGCAAUUGUGAAAUGCAGUCUUUUGACUGACAGAAUUGUGAGUUUAUUUCAGACACUUGCUCUCCCCUAUACCAUAUGGUGAAGCUUAAUGGCCAGUUUAACAAGUUCUGUAAAGUACUGGCUAUGACAUACAUAUGGAAAUUUCAGAAAAUAACUUCAUGCUUUUUUCCCCCCUAAUUUUUAAUUUUUGAAAUGCUCAAAGUAUUAAUGAUUGGUUUUCCUGCAGGUUCGUGGUCCAACUUGUGCUCGAAGGUUUGCUAAUUAUCUGGAAGAGAUGAAAGAGGAUACAGAAAUAAAAAACAUCUUGGUCUUGGAACGUGGCUUCAACGGCUGGGAAGCAGCUGGUAAGCCUGUUUGUCAUUGUACCAGUACCCCGUGCACGGCUGAGAGUGCACAGUAAUUGUUCAAAAGACAUCCUCUCUUAGGAGGAAAUAUACCCACCUAUAUAAACUGGCUGUUAGAGAUUUCUAUUGACUGUUUAAUGUAUUUUCCAUGUAUCCAAUAGUCUACAGUGGCUUUUGGAAUGUUAGGAAGAGACAAAAGUUUCCCCAUUUCCCUUUCCUUAUUCAUCUCUCCUUUCCUCUAUAGGUCCACUCUUUCAUAGUCCUGUUUUCUGAAUGACUCCAGUUCAGCCAUAAAUGCG